AGGGCGUAUGGGGAAUGCCUAGGCACACUCCGGCGAAGAAGGACGCAGCAAACAGCGAAAUGCGACGGUGAGCGGUAAGCACGUGAAGAGCCGUCGAUAUCCGAAUGGGGGAACCCACACGGAGUCAUAUCCGUGUAUCACAUGUCGAAUACAUAGACAUGAUGAGGCGAGACGCAGGGAACUGAAACAUCUAAGUACCUGCAGGAAGAGAAAAUAAGAAUGAUUUUCUGAGUAGCGGCGAGCGAAAGGGAAAGAGCCCAAACCGAUCUGAGGAUCGGGGUAGUAGGAUCAUCGAGGAAUCUGACAGAGGAUCAUAGAGGAAUCACAUGGGAAGGUGAGCGAGAGAGGGUGAGAGCCCCGUACUCGAAAUGAGAGACUGGAGAGAGAUGACACCUGAGUAGGGCGGGACACGAGAAAUCCUGUCUGAAUCAGCCGGGACCAUCCGGCAAGGCUAAAUACGAGAGAGUGACCGAUAGUGAACCAGUACCGUGAGGGAAAGGUGAAAAGAACCCCGGGAGGGGAGUGAAAGAGAACCUGAAACCAUAUGCCUACAAGAAGUCAGAGCCCGUUAAAGGGUGAUGGCGUGCCUUUUGUAGAAUGAACCGGCGAGUUACUGUAUGGAGCGAGGUUAAGCAGGAUAUGCGGAGCCGAAGCGAAAGCGAGUCUUAAGAGGGCGCGAGUUGCAUGCAGUAGACCCGAAACCGGGUGAUCUAGCCAUGACCAGGUUGAAGUUGGGGUAAAACCCGAUGGAGGACCGAACCGACCCCCGUUGAAACGUUGGCGGAUGAGUUGUGGCUAGGGGUGAAAUUCCAAUCGAACCCGGAGAUAGCUGGUUCUCCCCGAAAUAGCUUUAGGGCUAGCGUCGAGAGAAGAGUUGCGUGAAGGUAGAGCACUGAAUAUGUGAUGGCCCCAUCUCGGGGUACUGAGCAUAAUCAAACUGCGAAUGUCACGCCAACAUGCUCGGCAGUCAGACAGCGGGUGAUAAGGUCCGUUGUCAAGAGGGAAACAGCCCAGACCAUCAGCUAAGGUCCCAAAAUGUAUGCUAAGUGGAAAAGGAUGUGGAGAUGUACAGACAACUAGGAGGUUGGCUCAGAAGCAGCCAUCCUUUAAAGAGUGCGUAACAGCUCACUAGUCGAAUGACUCUGCGCCGAUAAUUUACCGGGGCUAAGCAUACUACCGAAGCUAUGGAUCCCAAGGGAUGGUAGGGGAGCGUUCCAUGAACGGAGAAGUACGACCGAAAGGACGUGUGGAGAUCAUGGAAGAGAGAAUGCCGGUGUGAGUAGCGGAACGUGGGUGAGAAUCCCACGCACCGAAAACCCAAGGUUUCCAGAGGAAGGUUCGUCCGCUCUGGGUAAGUCGGGACCUAAGGCGAGGCCGAAAGGCGUAGUCGAUGGACAACAGGUAGAGAUUCCUGUACCCGUAUAUAUGUGAAGGAAUGACGGAGAGAGGAAGCUGCAGCCAGCGGCUGGAAGAGCUGGUGCAAGCGAGAUAUCGGGAUGGCAGGCAAAUCCACCAUCCGAAACGAGAAGGCGUGAAGCGUACGGAAAGCUACGGCGAGUACGGAAGGCAGUGGAGGAACUUCCAAGAAAAGUUUCUAACGUUAAGUAUAUAUGGCCCGUACCGAAAAUGGACACACAUGGGUGAGGAGAGAAUCCUAAGGUGAGCGAGAGAACUAUAGCUAAGGAACUCUGCAAAAUGACUCCGUAACUUAGGGAGAAGGAGUGCUCAUAGAGAUAUGAGCCGCAGUGAAACGGCCCAAGCGACUGUUUACCAAAAACACAGCUCUCUGCUAAGCCGCAAGGCGAAGUAUAGGGGGUGACGCCUGCCCGGUGCUGGAAGGUUAAGGGGAGGGGUUAACGCAAGUGAAGCCCUGAACUGAAGCCCCAGUAAACGGCGGCCGUAACUAUAACGGUCCUAAGGUAGCGAAAUUCCUUGUCAGGUAAGUUCUGACCCGCACGAAAGGCGUAAUGAUUUGGGCACUGUCUCAACAGCCCGCCCGGCGAAAUUGUAGUACUGGUGAAGAUGCCAGUUACCCGCAACUAGACGGAAAGACCCCAUGGAGCUUUACUGCAGCUUAAUACUGGAAUUCGGUAAAUCAUGUACAGGAUAGGUGGGAGACUGGGAAGCAUUGGCGUCAGCCAGUGUGGAGUCGCUGGUGGGAUACCACUCUUGAUUUGCUGGGUUUCUAACCUGCGGCCGUGAAUCCGGUCGGGGGACACUGUUAGGCGGGCAGUUUGACUGGGGCGGUCGCCUCCAAAAGAGUAACGGAGGCGCUCAAAGGUUGGCUCAGCACGGACGGAAAUCGUGCAAUGAGUGUAAACGUAUAAGCCAGCCUAACUGCGAGACCGACGGGUCGAGCAGUAACGAAAGUUGGAGUUAGUGAUCCGGUGGUAUGUGAGUGGAAAUGCCAUCGCUCAACGGAUAAAAGCUACCCUGGGGAUAACAGGCUGAUCUCCCCCAAGCGUCCACAGCGACGGGGAGGUUUGGCACCUCGAUGUCGGCUCGUCACAUCCUGGGGCUGUAUUCGGUCCCAAGGGUUCGGCUGUUCGCCGAUUAAAGUGGCACGCGAGCUGGGUUCAGAACGUCGUGAGACAGUUCGGUCCCUAUCUGUUGCGGGCGAAAGAGAUUUGAAGGGAGCUGUCCUUAGUACGAGAGGACCGGGAUGGACGUACCUCUGGUGCACCAGUUGUCCUGCCAAGGGCAUAGCUGGGUAGCUAUGUACGGACGAGAUAAACGCUGAAAGCAUCUAAGCGUGAAACUCCCCCUAAGAUGAGAUCUCUCAUCCUUCAUGGAGUAAGGGCCCAGGAAGACUACCUGGUUGA
Molecule: ribosomal RNA, 2822 nt
Filed under: human gut metagenome
Description: bacterial LSU rRNA
Rfam family: Bacterial large subunit ribosomal RNA
Source: RNAcentral